UACGAGGGGGGCAAGCGUUGUUCGGAAUUAUUGGGCGUAAAGGGCGCGUAGGCGGUGCGGUAAGUCACCUGUGAAAACUCUGGGCUCAACUCAGAGCCUGCAGGCGAAACUGCCGUGCUUGAGUGUGGGAGAGGUGCGUGGAAUUCCCGGUGUAGCGGUGUAAUGCGUAGAUAUCGGGAGGAACACCUGUGGCGAAAGCGGCGCACUGGACCACAACUGACGCUGAGGCGCGAAAGCUAGGGGAGCAAACAGG
This 253-nucleotide ribosomal RNA is filed under the name uncultured bacterium. RNAcentral describes it as "partial 16S ribosomal RNA". It matches the Rfam family "Bacterial small subunit ribosomal RNA", at positions 524 to 776 of the family's 1533-position model. The record is from RNAcentral.